GAUGAACGCUAGCUACAGGCUUAACACAUGCAAGUCGAGGGGAAACGACAUCGAAAGCUUGCUUUUGAUGGGCGUCGACCGGCGCACGGGUGAGUAACGCGUAUCCAACCUGCCCAUCACUUGGGAAUAACCUUGCGAAAGUAAGACUAAUACCCAAUGACAUCCCACGAAGACAUCUGAAUGGGAUUAAAGAUUUAUCGGUGAUGGAUGGGGAUGCGUCUGAUUAGCUUGUUGGCGGGGUAACGGCCCACCAAGGCAACGAUCAGUAGGGGUUCUGAGAGGAAGGGCCCCCACAUUGGAACUGAGACACGGUCCAAACUCCUACGGGAGGCAGCAGUGAGGAAUAUUGGUCAAUGGGCGAGAGCCUGAACCAGCCAAGUAGCGUGCAGGAUGACGGCCCUAUGGGUUGUAAACUGCUUUUAUAAGGGAAUAAAGUGGGUCUCGUGAGACUUUUUGCAUGUACCUGAUGAAUAAGGACCGGCUAAUUCCGUG
RNAcentral lists this ribosomal RNA (492 nucleotides) under uncultured bacterium. RNAcentral describes it as "partial 16S ribosomal RNA". It matches the Rfam family "Bacterial small subunit ribosomal RNA", at positions 28 to 507 of the family's 1533-position model. The record is from RNAcentral.